UACGGGGGGGGCAAGCGUUGUUCGGAAUUACUGGGCGUAAAGGGCUCGUAGGUGGCCAACUAAGUCAGACGUGAAAUCCCUCGGCUUAACCGGGGAACUGCGUCUGAUACUGGAUGGCUUGAGUUCGGGAGAGGGAUGCGGAAUUCCUGGUGUAGCGGUGAAAUGCGCAGAUAUCAGGAAGAACACCCGUGGCGAAGGCGGUUCUCUGGGACGGUACUGACGCUGAGACGCGAAAGCUAGGGGAGCAAACGGG
RNAcentral lists this ribosomal RNA (253 nucleotides) under uncultured bacterium. RNAcentral describes it as "partial 16S ribosomal RNA". It matches the Rfam family "Bacterial small subunit ribosomal RNA", at positions 524 to 776 of the family's 1533-position model. The record is from RNAcentral.